CAUGCACGUCUAAGUACUCGCCUUGGUCUAUUUAAAGUGAAACCGCGAAUGGCUCAUUAAAUCAGUUAUGGUUCACUGGACCGUACCACAUCCUACUCGGAUAACUGUGGUAAUUCUAGAGCUAAUACAUGCAACUAGGCCCUGCCCGGCCGCUCCGUCCGUCAAAACGACGGUCGGUCGGAAAGGGCGCCAUUAUCAGCUCAAAACCGACCGGGUCGCCCGCCGUCCUCUGGACGGGCAGGGCUCCCGUUCUCGUUGACCCUUUGACGACUCUGGAUAACCUCCUAGCGGAUCGCCGGUCAAACUUAGGUCGGCCGGGUGUUUCGGCAUCCGCGCCCGACCUAACGGCGACUGGUCUUUCGAAUGUCUGCCUUAUCAACUGUCGACGGUAGGUUAGACGCCUACCGUGGUCGUAACGGGUGACGGGGAAUCAGGGUUCGAUUCCGGAGAGGGAGCCUGAGAAACGGCUACCACAUCCAAGGAAGGCAGCAGGCACGCAAAUUACCCAAUCCCCGAACGGGGAGGUAGUGACGAAAAAUAACGAUACGGGACUCUUAACGAGGCCUCGUAAUCGGAAUGAGUCCGCUCUAAAUCCUUUUAACGAGGAUCUAUCGGAGGGCAAGUCUGGUGCCAGCAGCCGCGGUAAUUCCAGCUCCGAUAGCGUAUAUUAAAGUUGCUGCGGUUAAAAAGCUCGUAGUUGGAUUUGGGUUUUCGGGCCGGCGGGCCGCCGCCUUCGAGCGGCGCGUCUCCCGCCGCGCCCCCGGAACCGCACGGUCGCAGAGGCCCCCGCGGUGCUCUUGAGUGAGUGUCCGCCGGUUCGGGUCGCCGAACGUUUACUUUGAAAAAAUUAGAGUGCUCCAGGCAGGCCGGUAAAGCGUUGUUUAAAAAAGACCCGCGCCUGAAUAGUCACGCAUGGAAUAAUGAAAGAGGACCGGUGGUCCUAUUUUGUUGGUUUUCGGGAUUUUCCGCCGUCAUGAUUAAGAGGGACGGCCGGGGGCAUUCGUACCGCGGCGCGAGAGGUGAAAUUCUAGGACCGCCGCGAGACGAACCGUUGCGAAAGCAUUUGCCAAGAAUGUUUUCCUUAAUCAAGAACGAAAGUCAGAGGUUCGAAGGCGAUCAGAUACCGCCCUAGUUCUGACCGUAAACGAUGCCACCUGACGAUCCGCCAGGGUUACUACCAUGACUCGGCGGGCAGCCCCCGGGAAACCCAAGCCUUCGGGUUCCGGGGGAAGUAUGGUUGCAAAGCUGAAACUUAAAGGAAUUGACGGAAGGGCACCACCAGGAGUGGAGCCUGCGGCUUAAUUUGACUCAACACGGGAAACCUCACCCGGCCCGGACACCGCGAGGAUUGACAGAUUGAGAGCUCUUUCUCGAUUCGGUGGGUGGUGGUGCAUGGCCGUUCUUAGUUGGUGGAGCGAUUUGUCUGGUUAAUUCC
RNAcentral lists this ribosomal RNA (1435 nucleotides) under Kumbadjena occidentalis. RNAcentral describes it as "SSU rRNA". It matches the Rfam family "Eukaryotic small subunit ribosomal RNA", at positions 50 to 1326 of the family's 1831-position model. The record is from RNAcentral. Lineage: Eukaryota; Metazoa; Onychophora; Udeonychophora; Euonychophora; Peripatopsidae.